UUCGCUGACGAGUGGCGGACGGGUGAGUAAUGUCUGGGAAACUGCCUGAUGGAGGGGGAUAACUACUGGAAACGGUAGCUAAUACCGCAUAAUGUCGCAAGACUAAAGAGGGGGACCUUCGGGCCUCUUGCCAUCGGAUGUGCCCAGAUGGGAUUAGCUAGUAGGUGGGGUAACGGCUCACCUAGGCGACGAUCCCUAGCUGGUCUGAGAGGAUGACCAGCCACACUGGAA
RNAcentral lists this ribosomal RNA (231 nucleotides) under Shigella sonnei. Its description in RNAcentral is "partial 16S ribosomal RNA". It matches the Rfam family "Bacterial small subunit ribosomal RNA", at positions 84 to 318 of the family's 1533-position model. The record is from RNAcentral. Lineage: Bacteria; Pseudomonadati; Pseudomonadota; Gammaproteobacteria; Enterobacterales; Enterobacteriaceae.